AUUUUUAUAGUAUAAAUAUUACGUAAUAUUUUCAAUAUUAUGAUGAUUAAGAAAUCUAAAAAUG
This 64-nucleotide transfer RNA is filed under the name Achelia bituberculata. RNAcentral describes it as "tRNA-Glu". Lineage: Eukaryota; Metazoa; Arthropoda; Pycnogonida; Pantopoda; Ammotheidae. The record is from RNAcentral.